UAUUAUAUAUUAAUUUACUCUGAAUAAAUAUAUUUAAUUAUAUUUACCUAAAAAAUGAAAUUUCCAAUAUAAAUAAUACUAAAAUCCUUCACUCUUUAGACAAAAACCAGGAUUAGAUACCCUGUUAUUCUAAAUAACUACAAUAAUUCAAGGAAAAAACAAAAUAAAUUUGACGGUAUUAACCUUUACAAAGGAAUUUGUUUCUUUAUCGACAACCCACGAAGAACCUUACUUAAUACUUAUUUGUAUACCACCGUUUCUGAAAUUAUUUAAAAUAAAUUUCAAAUAAACAUAACUUUAUAAAAUCAGGUCAAGGUGCAAUUUUAUUAAGAUGAAAUGAAUUACAUUAAUAUUUUUUACUUAUAAAAAUUGAAAACUUUUUAAAAACAGAAUUUGUUAGUAAAUUUUAAUCAGAAUGUAAAAUUGAAAACCAACAUUAAUAUG
Molecule: ribosomal RNA, 444 nt
Filed under: Peripatus juanensis
Lineage: Eukaryota; Metazoa; Onychophora; Udeonychophora; Euonychophora; Peripatidae
Description: partial 12S ribosomal RNA
Source: RNAcentral